AUGGUCUCCUUCUCCUUUCCUUUUGCCUUAUAGUACCAGAGCUUGGUUGGAAUAGCAAACCAUGUAACCAACAAAGGAAGAUGCUAGCGAGGUACAAGAACAAUGCACAGUUUCUUGAUAUGACAUUCCUUGGAGCAAAAACAGUAAUCUCCAAUACCAGCUUAUCAUCAUGCUUCGAGACGUACCAGCUUUGAUUAGGUUAUAACUUGGGACAAUCCUCUUCUCCAGCCUCUAGUU
Long non-coding RNA from Arabidopsis thaliana (thale cress), 237 nucleotides. RefSeq annotates it as other RNA. The record is from RefSeq. NCBI's taxonomy places the organism in Eukaryota, Viridiplantae, Streptophyta, Magnoliopsida, Brassicales, Brassicaceae. The transcript has a single exon.